GAAGACGGUCAAUGUAAACAGGAAACACCUCUUCCCGUCAGAUCAGAGAAGUUAAGCUGUUUGCGUUUUAUGUGGUACUUUCGAAAGAAGGGAAACAUAAAAGCUGUCUUCG
RNAcentral lists this ribosomal RNA (112 nucleotides) under Candidatus Pacearchaeota archaeon CG06_land_8_20_14_3_00_35_12. The record is from RNAcentral. Lineage: Archaea; Nanobdellati.